Molecule: small nucleolar RNA, 128 nt
Filed under: Octodon degus (degu)
Lineage: Eukaryota; Metazoa; Chordata; Mammalia; Rodentia; Octodontidae
Description: Small nucleolar RNA SNORA13 (ENSODEG00000024762.1)
Source: RNAcentral
AGCCGUUUUGCUGCCCUUUUGCUUUUGGAAACUAGGGGAUGUGGUGUCAAACCACGCAUAAGUGAAUGUCAUACAGUCUUUUCCUGGCCUUAUAUUGCAUUUAGUGCAAGAGCUUCAUAGUAACAACU